This 1143-nucleotide long non-coding RNA is filed under the name Anolis carolinensis (green anole). Its description in RNAcentral is "lncRNA (ENSACAG00000030626.2)". Lineage: Eukaryota; Metazoa; Chordata; Lepidosauria; Squamata; Anolidae. The record is from RNAcentral.
AUGAAGAUCCUCUCCAGCAGCAAGAAGUUUUGGAAAGAUUCAGUUCUGCUGAGAAACCGCAAAAAACAGUCCAACUUGCGGUUCCGCUGUGUUGUGGAUCCUGUGAAAGUAACUGUGCGAAUGAGCAAUCCGCAUGAGUCCAAGAUCUGCUGUGCUCAGGUUGGCCGGAAAAGUAAAGCCUACUACUCUGGUGAGUGGUCAAGCCAUCAUGAUACAGAUGACAAGAAAACCAGCUGGUACAGAAACCAACAACAACACCAGAAUAGCCCGUGCAGCUCCCACCUUUCUGACACCGAAACGCCCCAACCAGCAUGUCCUGCUGGAUCCGUUGCCUCCUGGGUGCGCUUCAGCUUCAGUUCUCCAGAGCGUGCGGCAGGAAGCAGCUCAGCCCACUAUGGCAUCCAUGCCCGUAACCACCAAAGGGCCACUGGUGAUAAACAGCUCAGCUCAGAGAUUGCGGGAGAAGGUCUCAAAGGGCAGAGAUUCCCACCACAUGCUGUUGGCUUGAAUACAGAAGAACCUGCUCCCUGCCGUUCGGAACACCCCCACGAGCGCUUUAACCACCUACCCAGUGUGACCAAUUUCAUCCCAAGUCCAAUUUUACCCGGCCCAAGACGAGUGGUAUACUCUGCUCUGGCUUCAGAUACAAUAUCCAGAACUCAUCUCAACAGUGAGGAGUAUGCCUACCCACAUUCUCCAAGAGGGCCACAGCACCGUCUCGGGUUAGAGUGGCACCAGCAUUUGCCAGUGGCCCAGCAAGCUGAGGUGUACGUUUACCUGAUCAGCCCACCUACUCCUAGCCCAGAGCACAACACUGAGCAGCCCAACCAUCCCUUCUCAAUACCUCGGACCACCUCCGGGAAAGAAACGUUAGCCCACCGGUUCUCUCUCAGCCAGAGCAGGGGCAGUUCCAGCCAAAACCAUGCCACUCAGGGGACCAGUGACCCCCACAAGCAACGCAAGAGCAUCUGGGAGAGGAAACAUCAGAGAAGGUCCCUGCAGAAUUCAGAGUAUGAAAAGCUGGCAGCAGGCCACGGGAGUACCAAUGUUGACCAUCAAGAGCCAUUCUCCCAUAAUCCAUCUCUCUUGGCAGAUAGAGGGAGGGGUGGGCUUGAUGCUGCACCAACUAUCAUUGCUAGCUAA